GCUCGGAGGGCAUCUUGGGGACACAUACCCUUCCUCCGUCUCAUUGAUAAUGUCGCAGAUCUCCAUGUUCAACGUCCAGUCUUCGCUUUGCAGGGAGCCAUCUGUUGCC
Lynx canadensis (Canada lynx) is the source of this 109-nucleotide long non-coding RNA. RefSeq lists it as uncharacterized. NCBI's taxonomy places the organism in Eukaryota, Metazoa, Chordata, Mammalia, Carnivora, Felidae. The record is from RefSeq and is a predicted model, not a curated record. The transcript is spliced from 3 exons.